This 459-nucleotide ribosomal RNA is filed under the name uncultured bacterium. RNAcentral's name for it is "partial 16S ribosomal RNA". It matches the Rfam family "Bacterial small subunit ribosomal RNA", at positions 338 to 795 of the family's 1533-position model. The record is from RNAcentral.
CCUACGGGAGGCAGCAGUGAGGAAUAUUGGUCAAUGGUCGGGAGACUGAACCAGCCAAGCCGCGUGAGGGAUGAAGGUACAGAGUAUCGUAAACCUCUUUUGUCAGGGAACAAAGGCGGGGACGUGUCCCCGGCUGAGUGUACCUGAAGAAAAAGCAUCGGCUAACUCCGUGCCAGCAGCCGCGGUAAUCCGGAGGAUGCGAGCGUUAUCCGGAUUUAUUGGGUGUAAAGGGUGCGCAGGCGGUCUGUUAAGUCAGCGGUCAAAGCCCGGGGCUCAACCCCGGCCCGCCGUUGAAACUGGCAGUCUCGAGUGGGAGAGCAGUAGGCGGAAUGCGCGGUGUAGCGGUGAAAUGCAUAGAUAUCGCGCAGAACUCCGAUUGCGAAGGCAGCAUGCCGGCUCCACACUGACGCUGAGGCACGAAAGCGUGGGUAUCGAACAGGAUUAGAUACCCUGGUAGUC